AAACAAAACUGAAACUAAUUGUACUUCUGCAACUUCCGUCCCAGGCCCGGGACACCGACCAGCAGCGCCGCAGGCCCCGCCUUCUUCCCUACCCCGGCCGGGACCUCUUCCUCGGGGCCUCCACCCCCGGCAGGGCACAGCCCCCGCCCGCCGGCGCCUCCGCCUAGCCUCCAGGUCCAGGUCCACUCUUUGCGGCUGGAGUUGCCGAGGGGAGUUGCCUGACGAUGCGUCCUCUGAGGGAAGAAAUUAGAGAUCACGGGUGAUUCAGAGACCGAGGGUAACCAGAGCCAGGCCAGGUUCCAGGGCGGCAGCAUAUCUGCACAUCCAGUCCUGGUUAACCUCUUACUUGAUUCAUCACCUGCCUACCUAUGCAUCCGUUUACCCAGUGAAGAGAUGUCAGGAGGAAACAGAACCGGUGAGAACUUUGCAGCUGCCCUGAGCAUAGAGGGGAGCCUGACUACAGGGCCAGGACGAUUUGCUGGACGCCUCCUGUGCUGUGCAGUGCACAAAGAUCAAAAGGUAUGUCUCCACCCACAGGCAGUUUAUAACCAAGGACGGAAGGUGACAUCUGUACAUGUUGCCAUAUGAGACAAAUGUCAUAUUAAGGUGUCAAAAUAAUCAUCGCAACGGCUCUCUUUCACUGGACAUUGACAGUGAGCUUGGCAUGGGCUGUUGUAAACAUAACAUUUAAUCCUUACAGGAACCUAGUAAGGUAGGUACCACUCUUGCCUCCGCUUUACAGAUGAAGAAACUGAAUUACAAGGAGAACGAAUCAGUGACCCAGGGUCGCAUAAAGCGCUGCAACAACACAGAGGGAAAGUUUGGUUUCUCCUGGAAGAGUGGUGGUGGUGUGAGAAUCAGGAAGGCUUCAUGAAAGAGGCAGCAUCUCAGUGGCUCUCCUUCCCCGCCUACCCGAAUGUUGAAGGAUUGUUUACUGCCUACAGUGUGCGGCAAUCCCCAGGAAGGCAGGUUCCUCUCCCUGAGAACAGGCUUCCAAGGCAGGCGAUACUUAGCUACCACCAAGUGCUAGGCGUUACUAUGGAGACACAGGGAGGGGGAGAAGGAGUUCUUGCCAGAUGCUGGGGGUUCCUCAAGAUGAUGCUGGGGAAGGCCUCUGGUGCUGGAUGGUCUGAUAGGACUGAAGUGCAGAUGGGGUAGGUGGAGGGAAGUGGCAGGAGAUGGGAGCAGGCAGGGAGAACAAACUUAAAAAUUUCCUGUUGAGAAUCCUGUAAGACCUUAAGGUAAUGGGGAGCCAUUAUAGGAUUUUUACUGAGCAAGUCUGGGCUUUUUUUCUGUGGGUAUUUAGGGGUGGGGGAAAGUGAAGGUUUUUAAUCAAUUCAUACAAAUAAUAAGCAUAAUUUGAAAUAAAAUUUAAGGAGUUCCCGCUGUGGCACAAUAGGAUGG
Molecule: long non-coding RNA, 1404 nt
Organism: Phacochoerus africanus (Common warthog)
Lineage: Eukaryota; Metazoa; Chordata; Mammalia; Artiodactyla; Suidae
Exons: 4
Source: RefSeq, a predicted model, not a curated record